UUAGGGUUAGGGUUAGGGUUAGUGUUAUUGUUAGGGUUAGGGUAAGGCAUAGGUUUAGGGUAAGGGUUAGGGUUAGGGUUAGGGUAGGGUUAGGGUUAGGGUUAGGGUUAGGGUUACGGUAGGGUUAGGGUUUGGGUUACGGUAGGGUUAGGGUUAGGUUACAGUAAGUUUAGGGUUAUGGUAAAGGUUAGGGUUAGGGGUAACGUUAGGGUUGCGGUAGGGUUAGUGUUAGGUUUAGGGUCAGGGUUGGGGUUAGGGUUAGUGUUAGGUUUUGGUUUAGGCUUAGGAUUAGUUUUUGGGUUGGGGUUAGGUUAGGGUUAGGGUUAGGGGUUAGGGAAGGGGUUAGGGUUAGGGUUAGGGUUAGGGUUAGGGUUAGGGUUAGGGUUAGGGUUAGGGUUAGGGUUAGGGUUAGCGUUAAUGUUAGGGUUAAUGUUAGGGUUAGUGUAGGGUUAGGGUUAGGCUUAGGGUUAGGGUUAGGGGUAGGGUUAGGGUUAGGGUUAGGGUUAGGGUUAGGGUUAGGGUUAGGGUUAGGGUUAGGGUUAGGGUUAGGGUUAGGGUUAGGGUUCGGGUUAGGGAUUGGGUUUGGGUUAGGGAUAGGGAUAGGGUUAGGGUUAGGAUAAGGGUAAGGUUUUUGUUAGGCGUAGGUUUAUGGUUACGUUUUGGGUUGGGGUUAAGUUAGCAUUUGGUUUAAAGUUAGGGAAAGGAUAAGGGUUAGGAGUAGGUUUAGGGAAUGGGUUCGGGUUAGGGUAGGGUUAGUGUUAGGGUACGUUUAGGGUAAGGGUAAGUGUUCGGUUUCUGGUUAGGGUUAUUGUAGGGUUAAGGUUAGGGUUACAGUAAGGGUAGGGUUAGGGUUUGGUUUUGGGUUAGGGUUAGGUUUAGGGUUUGGGUAAGGGUUAGUGUUAUUGUUAGGGUUAGGCUUAAGUUUAGGUUUAGUGUAAGGGUUUAGGGUUAGGGUUAAGGUUACAGUAAGUUUAGGGUUAUGGUAACGGUUAGGGAUAGGAUUAUGGUAGGGUUAGGGUUAGAGGUAAUGUUAGUUUUAGGGUUAGGUUUAGGGUCCGGGUUGGGGUUAGGGUUAGGGUUAGGUUUUGGUUUAGGCUUAGGAUUAGAUUUUGGGUUGGGGUUAGGUUAGGGUUAGGUUUAGGUUUAGGGUGAGCAUUAGUGUUAUUUUUAGGGUUAGGGUUCGGAUUAAGUUUAGCGUUAGGGUUUAGGUUUAGUGUUAGGGUUAAGGUUACGGUAUGUUUAGGGUUAUGAUAAAGGUUAGGUUUAGAGGUAAGGUUAGGGUUAGGUUUAGGGUCAGGGUUAAUGUUAGUGUUAGGUUUAGGGUUAGGGUUUAGGGUUAGGGUAAGGGUUAGGUUUUUGCUUGGGGUUAGCUUAAGGUUAGGGUUAGGGUUAGGUUUAGACACAUUAGGGUUAGGGUUGGGCACGUUAGGGUUAGGGUUUGGCACGUUAGAGUUAGGGUUAGCGUUAGGUUUAGACAUUAGGGUUAGGGUUAGGCACGUUAGGGUUAGGGUUAGGGUUAGGGUUAGGCACAUUAGGGUUAGGGUUAGGGUUAGGGUUAGGGUUAGGGUUAGGGUUAGGGUUAGGGUUAGGGUUAGGGUUAGGGUUAGGGGUAGGGUUAGGGAUAGGGUUAGGGUUAGGUUUAGGGUUAGACACAUUAGUGUUAUGGUUAGGCACGUUAGGGUUAGGGUUAGGCACGUUAGGGUUAGUGUUAGGGUUAGGUUUAGGCACAUUAGGGUUAGGGUUAGGCUCGUUAGGGUUAGGGUUAGGGUUAGGCACGUUAGGGUUAGGAUUAGGGUUAGGCACGUUAGGGUUAGGGAUAGGCACGUUAGGGUUAGGGUUAGGGUUAGGCACAUUAGGGUUAGGGUUAGGGUUAGGCACGUUAGGGUUAGGGUAAGGCACAUUAGGGUUAGGGUUAGGCACUUUAGGGUUAGGGUUAGGGUUAGGCACAUUAGGGUUAGGGUUAGUGUUAGGGUUAGGGUUAGGGUUAGGGUUAGGGUUAGGGUUAGGGUUUGGGUUAGGGUUAGGGUUAGGGUUAGGGUUAGGGUUAGGGUAAGGUUAGGGUUAGGGUUAGGUUUUGGUUAAGGGUUAGGGUUAGGAUUUGGCUUAUUGUUAUGAUUAGGGUUAGGGUAAGGGUUUGGAUUAGGAUAAGGCUAUGGUUAGGGUUUGUUUUAGGGUUAUGGAUAGGAUUAAGGUUAGUGUUAGUUUUUUGGUUAGUGUUAGGGUUAUGUUAGGUUUAGGGUUAGGGUUAGGGUUAAGGUUAUAUUCUGUUUAGGGUUAGGUUUAGGGUUAGGGUUAAGGUUAGGGUUUGUCUUAAUGUUGGUUUAGGGAAAGGGUUGUGUUAGUGUUAGGGUUUAGGUUUAUAGUUUGUGUUACGACUAAGUUUAGGUUUAGGGUAAGGGUUAGUGUUUCUUUUAAUGUAGGUAUAGGGUUAGGGUUAGGCUUAGUUUGGAGAGGUUUAUUGAUGACUGGCUGACUGAGAAAAGCCACGCAGACACUGUGCAGCUGGUUAAGCAACCUUGUCACACUCAAGAUCAGGUAUGAGAACAAGGAACAAAACAGGAUGCAGUUGAAGAAAGCUGGCAACAGUGUUUUGAGAAGUCAGUAAGAGUGUUUGCUGAGAG
Gallus gallus (chicken) is the source of this 2621-nucleotide long non-coding RNA. The record is from Ensembl. NCBI's taxonomy places the organism in Eukaryota, Metazoa, Chordata, Aves, Galliformes, Phasianidae.